This 394-nucleotide ribosomal RNA is filed under the name Lepidochelys olivacea (Pacific ridley). RNAcentral's name for it is "partial 12S ribosomal RNA". It matches the Rfam family "Bacterial small subunit ribosomal RNA", at positions 795 to 1384 of the family's 1533-position model. The record is from RNAcentral. Lineage: Eukaryota; Metazoa; Chordata; Testudines; Cheloniidae.
CUUAGCCCUAAACUUAGAUAUUUUCAGCACAAAAAUAUCCGCCAGAGAACUACGAGCAUAAACGCUUAAAACUCUAAGGACUUGGCGGUACCUCAAACCCUCCUAGAGGAGCCUGUUCUAUAAUCGAUAAUCCACGAUCUACCUCACCAUCCCUUGCCAAUUCCGCCUAUAUACCACCGUCACCAGCUUACCCCAUGAGAGCACAAAAGUAAGCAAAAUAACCUAAACAGUUAAUAAGUCAGGUCAAGGUGUAGCUAAUUGAGAUGGAAGAAAUGGGCUACAUUUUCUACCUUAGAAUUAAUCACGGAAGAAUAUCAUGAAAUAGAUUCCACAAGCAGGAUUUAGCAGUAAACUGGGAGCAGAGAGCCCAAUUUAAGCUGGUCCUGAGGUACGC